RNAcentral lists this ribosomal RNA (554 nucleotides) under uncultured bacterium. Its description in RNAcentral is "partial 16S ribosomal RNA". It matches the Rfam family "Bacterial small subunit ribosomal RNA", at positions 355 to 900 of the family's 1533-position model. The record is from RNAcentral.
UAGGGAAUCUUCCACAAUGGACGCAAGUCUGAUGGAGCAACGCCGCGUGAGUGAAGAAGGUUUUCGGACCGUAAAGCUCUGUUGUUGGUGAAGAAGGAUAGAGGUAGUAACUGGCCUUUAUUUGACGGUAAUCAACCAGAAAGUCACGGCUAACUACGUGCCAGCAGCCGCGGUAAUACGUAGGUGGCAAGCGUUGUCCGGAUUUAUUGGGCGUAAAGCGAGCGCAGGCGGAAGAGUAAGUCUGAUGUGAAAGCCCUCGGCUUAACCGAGGAAUUGCAUCGGAAACUGUUUUCUUGAGUGCAGAAGAGGAGAGUAGAACUCCAUGUGUAGCGGUGGAAUGCGUAGAUAUAUGGAAGAAUACCAGUGGCGAAGGCGGCUCUCUGGUCUGCAACUGACGCUGAGGCUCGAAAGCAUGGGUAGCGAACAGGAUUAGAUACCCUGGUAGUCCAUGCCGUAAACGAUGAGUGCUAAGUGUUGGGAGGCUUCCGCCUCUCAGUGCUGCAGCUAACGCAUUAAGCACUCCGCCUGGGGGAGUACGACCGCAAGGUUGAAAC